UGCAGCAUGGCAUAAUGGUUCAAGUGCUGGACUACGAUUCUGGAGACCAGGGUUCAGUUCCCUGCAUGGCCA
This is a non-coding RNA of Phrynosoma platyrhinos (Desert horned lizard), 72 nucleotides long. The record is from the annotation of a GenBank genome assembly. Lineage: Eukaryota; Metazoa; Chordata; Lepidosauria; Squamata; Phrynosomatidae.